CCGGCGAAUCUUCUUUCGUUUUCCGGCACCGAUCGCGGUGGAUCUCCGAUUUAAAUGGCGGCGGACAAUGCGUAUCUGAUGCAGUUUGUCGACGAAACCUCCUUUUACAACCGAAUCGUUUUGAGUCAUCUUUUGCCGGCGAAUCUGUGGGAACCCUUACCUCAUUUUCUCCAGACAUGGCUCCGAAAUUACCUCGCCGGAACCCUACUCUACUUCAUCUCCGGCUUCCUCUGGUGCUUCUACAUCUAUUACCUCAAAAUCAACGUUUACCUUCCCAAAGGUCUCGACUUUCAAUUAUGUUUUCACUAAUGCUUAAGAGUUUGAUAUGUUAUCGAUUUCCAAUUUAAGGAAAGGGGUUUCUUUGUGUACUGUACUGUAAUUUGGAUGUGAUGUUGGAUAAAAUUUGAUGUGGAUGGUUCAUGUUGCAUUUAUUGAUUAUUUAUGAGGUAAGCAAGCAUGAUUACAAAAUUCUCCAUCUAAGGGAUUGAUUGAACAGUCGGUUGCUGAUAUAAAUAAGUUCUUGUGCAACCAAUGAAAAGUCAUAGAUCUUUGAAGUUGAAUUUUCCACUGUAUGUAUACUUGGCAUUUAACUCAACUUAAAUUGGUAGUGAUUGUCUACGUUCAAUCUUGACUUCAUUCGAUAUUUAAAACACAUUCUUUUCUGCUUCUCUGAAACUUUGCCUGGAAAAGGAUAUAUCAUAUUUGAAAUCUUUUUUUGAUCUGUUUUGCUUCAGAUGCCAUUCCUACAAUAAAGGCUAUGCGUUUGCAAAUGUUUGUGGCAAUGAAGGCUAUGCCUUGGUAUACUCUUCUUCCAACUGUCUCCGAGAGUAUGAUUGAACGCGGUUGGACCAAAUGUUUCGCCAGCAUAGGCGAAUUCGGCUGGAUCCUCUAUUUUGUUUACAUCGCCAUCUAUCUUGUUUUCGUUGAGUUUGGUAUUUAUUGGAUGCACAGAGAGCUUCAUGACAUUAAGCCUCUCUAUAAGUAUCUCCAUGCGACCCAUCAUAUCUACAACAAGCAAAAUACACUCUCUCCAUUUGCCGGUAAGUGUUUUCAGUUUGUAAUUGUUUAGUCAUGUAAAAGAUUGGUAGCACUCAAUUUCUCACCGGAAAAGACUUUGUCAGCAGCUGCUUAUAAUCCAAAUCACAUUUUGCAUUCCUUAUCCAUAAGUAACCAGAAAGGCUAUAAUUAUAUAGAUAUCAGCUGCAUUACUGUACAUAUGUCAGAGACUUAUGCAUUAACCAUAGUUUAGUUCUUUGUUUCUCUUCUGGUCUCGGACUUGAUUGGAAACCACGAGAAGUUCUUUUUAUCUACUUGCCUGGAGUGUAUCUUGGUUAUCCAAGAAUGUUGCAUCUAAUAUGACUUCCUUACGUUUUGGUUUACAGGGCUUGCAUUUCACCCAGUUGACGGGAUACUUCAGGCUGUACCGCAUGUGAUAGCGCUGUUUAUAGUGCCAAUUCAUUUCACAACCCAUAUAGGUCUUUUGUUCAUGGAAGCGAUAUGGACAGCGAACAUCCAUGACUGCAUCCACGGCAACAUCUGGCCUGUAAUGGGUGCAGGAUACCAUACGAUACACCACACAACAUACAAGCAUAACUAUGGUCAUUAUACCAUAUGGAUGGAUUGGAUGUUCGGCUCCCUUAAGGAUCCUCUUUUAGAAGAAGAUGGCAACAAAGAUAGCUCCAAGAAAGCUGAGUGAGAAUGCCCACUUGUUUUUUUUUUUUAUAUUGCCGUCUUUUGUUCUGCUUGCUUGUUGUGGUCCUUUCUUGUUCGUUUUCUUCUUCAUGUGUCUCUCACAACCUUUCCAAUUAGUUUGUUACAAACAUUUGCUGUGUAGUUUAAAACAUGUAAAUGUUUGAUUUUUGCAAGACUCCAUUUUUGUUAAGGUAAACCUUGAAACAAAGAUUUUGACUUUUCUGUCAAUCUUGCGCCACCAGUUGUGUGGAUUUGUGGGGGCAUUGCGAAUAAUAUAUCUUCGUCAAAUAUCAAAAUUCGGCCUGGCCCAAUAUAUAGCUGGGCCAGUAGACCCGCUAUUGAUGAGUAACUUGUCCUUUUCUUGUUGAACAAGUCAACAAGCAAAACACACUCUCUCCAUUUGCCGGUAUGUCAAGCUAUGUUCUCAAUCUAACUUCAAGAAUGUUGUAUCAAUAGUGACUUCUUUACUUAAAACGUUUUUUCGGUUUUCCAGGGCUCACAUUCCAUCCGCUGGGCGGGAUACUUCAGGCUGUACCGCAUAUGAUAGAGCUGUGUAUAGUGCUGAUUCAUCUCAUAACACAUCUGAGUCUUUAGUUUUUUGGAAGGGAUAUGGACAGCAAGCAUCCGUGGUAAAAUUUGGCCUAUAAUGGUGCAGGAUACCAUACACCAUACGACAUACAAGCAUAACUAUGGUCAUUAUACCAUAUGGAUGGAUUGGAUGUUUGGCUCCCUUAGGGCUCUUUUAGCAGAAGAAGAAAGAACAGUGAGAAUAUUCCAUGCUCACAUUGUUCUCCUGACUCUUAACAUUUUCUAAUCACUUUGUUAUUCCAUGCUCACAUUGUUCUCCUGACUCUUAACCUUUUCUAAUCACUUUGUUGGAAUUAAGUAAAAAAGCAAAUCAUUUUAAUACUGUAAGUUUGUUUUAUCUGAAAAGGUUGUAGCUAUAAAUCACUCUCUCUACCACAACCAUUUUCAGUAACGCUUAAGCACAGUUUAACUUUUCUCGGCGGUUUCAUGGCGGCGACUAGUGCAGAUUAUAAUCAGUUCGUCAAUGAGACCUCUUUUUACAACCGUAUGGUUCUGAGUCACCUUUUGCCGGCGAGUCUAUGGGAACCUUUACCACAUUUCCUUCAGACAUGGCUCAGGAACUACCUCGCCGUAAACAUACUCUAAUUCACCUCCGGCUUCCUCUGGUGCUUCUACAUCUAUUACCUUAAACCCAACGUUUACGUCCCCAAAGGUGCUUUUCUUGUUUUUCUUUCAAUUUACGAUAUUCUGUUUUUUAAAAGCACGUAAAUUUAGUUAUUUCUCAACUUUGAAUCUAUUCUAACGAUUUGGCUAAUUUACAUUUUUAAGUUGAAUUUUUGAUCUCUGGAUGAGGUUUGAACUCAAAAUGUACGUUGAAAUUGAAAAAUUGUGCUUUCAAGUUCUGUUUCUUGUGGGGUUUCUUCUAUUUUGUGUUCAGAUUCUAUCCCUACAAGAAAGGCAAUGAUUCUGCAAAUAUCUGUGGCAAUGAAGGCUAUGCCUUAGCACAGUCUUCUUCCAGCUGUAUCUGAGUAUAUGAUCGAGCAUGGUUGGACCCAAUGUUACUCUACAAUUGACCAUUUCAACUGGUUCCACUGUAUCCUCUACAUAACUCUCUAUCUUGCUUUAGUUGAGUUUGGGGUUUAUUGGAUUCACAAAGAGCUUCAUGACAAUAAAUUUCUCUAUAAGCAUCUCCAUGCGACCCGUCACAUCUACAACAAGCAAAACACAAUCUCUCCAUUUGCUGGUAUGUCAAGUUAUGUUCUCAAUCUAUAUUUAAGAUUAUGCUGAGUAUCAAUAGUGACUUGUUUACUUAAAACGUUUUUUCGGUUUUCCAGGGUUCGCAUUCCAUCCGUUGGACGGGAUAAUUCAGUCUUUACCGCAUGUGAUAGCGCUGUUUAUAGUGCCGAUUCAUCUCAUAACACAUCUGUGCCUUUUGUCUUCGGAAGGGAUAUGGACAGCAAACAUCCAUGACUGCAUCCACGGCAACAUCUGGCCAGUAAUGGGUGCAGGAUACCAUACGAUACACCACACCACAUACAAGCAUAACUAUGGCCACAAAACCAUAUUGAUGGAUUGGAUGUUUGGCUCUCUUAAGGCUUCUUUAGCAGAAGAAGACAGUUUCAAGGAGAAAGCAAAGUGAGAAUGUUCAAUGCUCAGUUGCUCACAUCACAUGUCUCUUCUUCAUAUGUUGUUCUUCUCGUGACUCAUCUUAAACCUUUGUAAUCACCUUGUUGGAAAUAAAUAAAUAUAUGUUGGAAUCACUCUUAAACCUCUUUCUUGUUCAACAAGUCACCUGGGUGUGAUCAUAUCGCAUACUUGAGAGUUGAGGCUAAUGAUAGUAAAACGCAAUUUAACCCGCUUAAAGUUUAAUCGUAUUCAAAGGAUUGGCCACAUAGACUUGAAAUAAUCCAUCACAAACCCUCCAUACCAAAAAUUCCUUAAAAAAUAGCAAAUCAUUUAAAUAUUGUAAGUUUGCUUCAUUUAAAUAUUGUAAGUUUGCUUCAUUCGAAAUUUUAGCUACAGAUCUCAAAGCUCCUCCUGUUGGCUAUCUCUCUCUCUCUCUCUCUCUCUAUAAGCACAGUUUGACUUUUCUCGGCGGUUUCAUGCAUGGCGGCGACUAGUGCAGAUUAUAAUCAGUUCGUCAGUGAGACCUCUUUUUACAACCGAAUGGUUCUGAGUCACCUUUUGCCGGCGAAUCUAUGGGAACCUUUACCACAUUUCCUUCAGACAUGGCUCCGGAACUACCUCGCCGGAAACAUACUCUACUUCAUCUCCGGCUUUCUUUGGUGCUUCUACAUCUAUUACCUUAAACUCAACGUUUACGUCCCAAAAGGUUACUUUUUUCAAUUUCGAUGUUCUGUUUUUAAGCCUUCUUUUGUUUAUUCCUUCGAUUGUAUCGCCUGGUGGUUUCUGUUAUACGUUUCAAUUUGACGAACGUUACCCUCUCUUAUUUUUUUCCCUUACAGUUACUUUCAGUUCUUGUCUUCUACUUCUCAUUUAAUUAGUCUUGAAGUUUAAUAAUCCAAGCAAGUAAAUUUAGUUAUUUCUUAACUUUGAAUCUAACUUACAUUUUUUUAAGUUGAAUUUUCGAUAUCUCGAUAAAAGUUGAGCUCAAAUCUGAUUAUGUUAGAUACUUCAUGAAUCAUGAGGUACUGAACAUUUUAAUGAAAGAUUGUUGUGCUCAAUUGUGGUUAGUAGAAGUUUUAACCCAUAGGAACAUAAGUGUUUUAUUCAUGUUAAGCUAAUAUUCAGUACCUUGAAAUUGAAUAAUUGGGGUUCUUAGUUCUGAUUCUGGUGGGAUUUCAUCUAUUUUGUGUUCAGAUUCCAUUCCUACAAGAAAGGCUAUGCUUUUGCAAAUAUACAUGGCAAUGAAGGCUAUGCCUUGGUACACUCUUCUUCCAGCUGUCUCUGAGUACAUGAUCGAGC
Molecule: long non-coding RNA, 5145 nt
Filed under: Arabidopsis lyrata
Lineage: Eukaryota; Viridiplantae; Streptophyta; Magnoliopsida; Brassicales; Brassicaceae
Description: long non-coding RNA (ALYR_LNC002215)
Source: RNAcentral